GACGAACGCUGGCGGCGUGCUUAACACAUGCAAGUCGAACGGAAAGGCCCUGCUUUUGUGGGGUGCUCGAGUGGCGAACGGGUGAGUAACACGUGAGUAACCUGCCCUUGACUUUGGGAUAACUUCAGGAAACUGGGGCUAAUACCGGAUAGGAGCUCCUGCUGCAUGGUGGGGGUUGGAAAGUUUCGGCGGUUGGGGAUGGACUCGCGGCUUAUCAGCUUGUUGGUGGGGUAGUGGCUUACCAAGGCUUUGACGGGUAGCCGGCCUGAGAGGGUGACCGGCCACACUGGGACUGAGCUACGGCCCAGCCUCCUACGGGAGGCAGCAGUGGGGAAUAUUGCACAAUGGGCGGAAGCCUGAUGCAGCAACGCCGCGUGCGGGAUGACGGCCUUCGGGUUGUAAACCGCUUUCGCCUGUGACGAAGCGUGAGUGACGGUAAUGGGUAAAGAAGCACCGGCUAACUACGUG
This 468-nucleotide ribosomal RNA is filed under the name uncultured bacterium. RNAcentral's name for it is "partial 16S ribosomal RNA". It matches the Rfam family "Bacterial small subunit ribosomal RNA", at positions 28 to 507 of the family's 1533-position model. The record is from RNAcentral.